Molecule: ribosomal RNA, 253 nt
Filed under: uncultured Staphylococcus sp.
Lineage: Bacteria; Bacillati; Bacillota; Bacilli; Caryophanales; Staphylococcaceae
Description: partial 16S ribosomal RNA
Rfam family: Bacterial small subunit ribosomal RNA
Source: RNAcentral
AGUAACACGUGGAUAACCUACCUAUAAGACUGGGAUAACUUCGGGAAACCGGAGCUAAUACCGGAUAAUAUAUUGAACCGCAUGGUUCAAUAGUGAAAGACGGUUUUGCUGUCACUUAUAGAUGGAUCCGCGCUGCAUUAGCUAGUUGGUGAGGUAACGGCUUACCAAGGCAACGAUGCGUAGCCGACCUGAGAGGGUGAUCGGCCACACUGGAACUGAGACACGGUCCAGACUCCUACGGGAGGCAGCAGGU